GACGAACCGUGCGACCGUUAUUCGGAAUCACUGGGCUUAAAGCGCGUGUAGGCGGGUGGGCGCGUCGGCCGCUGAAAUCCCCCGGCUCAACCGGGGAAGGGGCGCCGAGACGGCCGGCCUGGAGGGACGUAGGGGGGCUGGAACUUCCGGUGGAGCGGUGAAAUGCGUUGAGAUCGGAAGGAACGCCCGUGGCGAAAGCGAGCCCCUGGACGUCUACUGACGCUGAGACGCGAAAGCCAGGGGAGCGAACGGG
RNAcentral lists this ribosomal RNA (253 nucleotides) under uncultured bacterium. RNAcentral's name for it is "partial 16S ribosomal RNA". It matches the Rfam family "Bacterial small subunit ribosomal RNA", at positions 524 to 776 of the family's 1533-position model. The record is from RNAcentral.